Pelobates cultripes (western spadefoot toad) is the source of this 261-nucleotide non-coding RNA. The record is from the annotation of a GenBank genome assembly. NCBI's taxonomy places the organism in Eukaryota, Metazoa, Chordata, Amphibia, Anura, Pelobatidae.
GCCCCUUUAAGAGAUAUGUUAUUUGCAGCCCAAUUCCACAAAUUAUAGGAGUCAGUGGGAUGCAGUGUCUCUCAUGGGAUUAACGCCACAAGUUAAAUGUUUCCCCCACUUACUGCACACACAUGUAAUCACAGACAUUUUGCGUUUAGAUGCGGAUUUAAUAUUUUCGGAUAAGCUUUUCAAAUUAAACAAAUAAGGUUUUAUAAACUUAAACGCUUUAGUUAGCUUGUAAAUAAAACCUAACUACAAAAAAAUAAAAAA